This 3927-nucleotide transfer RNA is filed under the name Canis lupus familiaris (dog). Its description in RNAcentral is "lncRNA (ENSCAFG00845007362.1)". The stretch from base 3825 to 3897 matches the Rfam family "tRNA". The record is from RNAcentral. Lineage: Eukaryota; Metazoa; Chordata; Mammalia; Carnivora; Canidae.
AGAAACAGGUUUGGCGGCAACUAGGACUUAGGAGUAAUUUGUCUCUUAUUUUUUUCUUUCUCUCUGGGAGGUAUAGUUGAGGUCAUGUGGUGUUUGUGCAAACUGCUUGGGUCUACAUGGCAGAGAAGUGGGGCUAAAGUACGAAGGAGGUGGAACUCAGAAACAGUCUGUCAAAACAAGAGUGACUGAAAGCAGUUGCCCUGUAUGUUGCAUCAUUUUUACUGCAAUAAAAGCAGUAAUGAUGGACUUUAUAUUGCAGUCACAAGCUACCAUUACUAAGUCAGAUAAGUGAAUUCAAGCAGGUCUUCUAGAAGUCGAGAGGCCUGUUGUCCUUUCUUUCUUUAAAAAAUUCAAAAAUAGGGGAUCCCUGGGUGGCUCAGCGGUUUGGCGCCUGCCUUUGGCCCAGGGCGCGAUCCUGGAGACCCGGGAUCGAAUCCCACAUCGGGCUCCAGGUGCAUGGAGCCUGCUUCUCCCUCUGCCUGUGUCUCUGCCUCUCUCUCUCUCUAUCAUAAAUAAAAAAAAAAAAAAAAAAAAAAAAAAAAAAAAAAAAAAAAAAAAAAUAAAAAAUUCAAAAAUAAAAUUGCUCCAAAGAUACUUUUUAACAUUUGCUGUCUUGAACUGUUAUUGCAUUACAGAUUUACAUUUUAUUGGUGAUAUUGCUCAAUUAUGCUCACAAUACUCAUGUUUUGAAAAGUCAGUAAAACUUUCCUUAAAGAGCAAGGCUUUGUGUUCAUCUUCCAUGCAUGGCAUACAUCAGAGUAAGAGGGACAUGAGAACCUUUCACUGAACUGUGCCCUGUCCGAGGUCCAAGACUAACUAAUCCUGGACAUUGGCCAAGUCAGUUAGCCUAUCUGCUGUUUGGUUUCUACAUCUGUGAAAUAGAGGUGUGUGAGAAGAUGAUUUCAUGAUUUUUUUUCUAGCUCUAAGAUUUUAUGAUUAUAACAUAUUAAAUGCCUACAUUGACAGGAACUGAAGAGAGUUCAGGGUUAAUACAAGUACUUGCCCCACAAAUUAGGUUUAUCACCUAUCUUUUGUAAAUCAUCUUACAAAUUAUUAUAUUGGACAUUUAAGGAAAUAUGGCAACUAUAUAAAAUAAUUAGAAAACUAAAUACAAAUAACACUCGGCAUAUUUAUUUUAAUGCCUAUUUCUACAAAUAUCCAAUGUACAUAUGCAUAACUGGAAUCAUACUGUAUACAGAAUUGAUGUCUGCCUUUUUCCUGCUGAAUUUUAUAUUGUGAGCACUUUCCCAUGCCACUAAAAAAAUCCUUAAAACCCAAUAGUUUUCUUUAAUUUUUUUGUAUUUUAAAUAUAACACAGAUACAGAAAACUGUAUAAAUGAAUUGUUGUAAGAUAAGCACUAGGAUAGCCACCACUUGACUCAGCCACCCCAGAAACACUCUUCUAACAUGAACCACCUCCUGCUGAAAUUCAUUGCCUUAAUGACUUUCACGGUAAUAAUAUCCUUACUUUUAUUUUUAUUUUUACCACCCAAUGUACAUCCCUAAAUGUUAUCAUUUAGUGUUGCCUAAAAACGUAAUUUUUAGUGAAUAUUUAUUAUUCCAUCAUAUAAAAAUACAUCAAUACAUGCACAUACAGCUUAUUGGAUUAUUUACUUCAUUUUUGGACAGUUGAUUGUUUUAUCUUAUUUUUUGAUUUGAUAUCUGUUCAUGUAAUGCAAAAGUUUGAAGGCUUACAGGAAUGUGGUGAAAAGUGUUCCUCCCACUUCUGUUCUCUAGCAACCUGGCUCUCUCUAUGACAAGUUGCCAGGAAGUUGUUUUUGAGAAAAAAAGAGCCUAAGAAUGGUAUUGUUAUGUUUUCAGUUUUAAUGUCCAAAGUAGUCUAAGUAGGUACAAAAAAUGUAAUUCUUUCUAAAGCGUGAAAAAUCCCUGUAAUUGAUUCUUUUCUAUAAUAUCAACAGAGUUUCUGGAGUGGAUAUGUAGUUUCACUCCUAGGUUAAAUUCAUAACAUUGAAUGUUGUAUGAAUUGGAUGUGAAAUAACUGCAGAAGGAAGUCUAGGAUCAAAUGAGAUGUAAAUAGUAUUGUGGUGUUUUACUUUGCUUUACUGUAUAGGUGAGAGACUCAAGUGGCUUCGGGUCUUUGGCACAAUGGGAAACUCAGUUUCUUACAUUUUGCUCUGGCAGAUCAAGAAAUAAUGUCAUCAAGAUAAUUAUGCUAAUGCAAAAAUACAUAAUUCAGAAUGAAGGAAUCAACUAUAUAACUAUCUAAUCUGACCUGUACACAAUUUUUAUGCACUAGGGUUUUUUGGUUGCAAGAAACAAAAGCAGACUGCUUAACUGAAAUAAAAGGAAUUUGUCAGAUUUGUCAGAAGCGUUCAGGUACUCAUUGACAGAAAGGCUGGAGAACCAGACUUUGAAAUGGACAGGGCCAAUACAACUUAAGAGGUCCAGGAAUUGGCGAUGACAACAAUGGUUUCAAAUGGUAUUAAAUUGGUUUUGGAUAUUUUAUUAGAUUCUGGUAGAAACUGUGUGCCUGAUAAUGGAACAUCAGGUGACUACACAACCAGAACUGUCCAUCAUGAUAUUAUCAGAUACAAUGUUAGUGCUAAGUUUGGGUAGAUAUAUCAGCAGACUUAUGAUAGAAAUGAAACAUUGGGAUCCAGCCUGAAUAUGUCCAGAAGGCAUGAAUAUAUUGCAUGUACAUGUAAUUUGAACUCCCAUGUCACCUGCCACUGCUACACCAAUGGACCUCUCUCAACAUACCUGGGAUCUCAUGGGGUGGAGGAGAGAGAAUAGGUGAUCCCCUAUGACCAAGUGAGAGAAGAAAAGACAAUUUAGGCCCAAUUUACAUGUGAAUAUUCACCAUGCAUUAGUGCUAGCAGAAAACGGAUUGCCACCACAUUACAGUCCUACCCAGCAAUGGAAGGAUAGUCUUGAAAGGAAAUUCUCUCUGUAGGCAGUGUUAUGAGUAGUACAAAUGGCCAUUGACUUAGUAUAGAGAGAGAAAAAUGUACUGAGAUGUAGAUAUACAGAGGCUCUGGGACAGGUGGGAAUGGCUUGACUGCUUUGUCAGGGUCUUGGAAGAAACAAAACUGGAAGAUUCUCCUGGUAAGUCAUCCUCAUAUUGGAGCUUUUAUUUUUCUUUCCUCACUCUUCUGUUCUGUCACUCCCAUUUCCCUGGGAUUGUGGAAAUACUAAUAAAGGUAGUAUGACAUAAACUUUUGCCUCAGCCAUGAGGGCAACUAGACUCUUGAAAAGUUCAGUGAAAUAUUUGUGGGCAAUUCAGACUCCCAGACCAAAUUAUACAGGCUCUGCCCAAGCAGUGAUAUAUAUCUAGUGAUGGCUCAAAGUAUUCUUAAGACUAUUUCCAUUAUCUGAGAAAGAAAAUGAAGAGAAGUUUGUCCAAAUUAUUUCUGAUAACUUUCAAGUAUACUCAAGUAUAAGUCUCUGAAAAUCUCUCUAACUUAACCAUUUAUGAAAUAAUUGGCCUAGCAAUCAGAGAUAGAAAUCUGUUUGUGAACAAAAUGGAUAAGAAAAUUAUCUCAUCAACAAAACAAGAAGCUAUGUCAUUCUCCUUAUCCUAAGAAAAAUCGAUAUGUAAUCAAAAUUUUUAUUUUUUUCUUGGAACUACUCCACAGGUUGAAUUUGACUAUUUCUCAAUACUGUCAACUCUGCCAAAACCUAAGCAAAGAAUGUAAUUACCUUUUAAAGUAUUUCUCCCACUCUGCUCCUUGAGGAGUCUGAAACUGUUAAACGACUGGCAACUGUUCUCCUUAGGUUAGCACUUGGCCUAUCUCCCUUCUAAGGACAUCUGAGAUCCCCUGUAUUCCACUAAAAAUAAAGGAUGGAAGGUAGAGAAGUGGGACACCUAGCUGGCUCAGUCGGUAGAGCAUGUGACUCUUGAUUGCAGAGUUGUGAGUUCAAGCCCCACGUUGGGUGCGGAGCCUACUUUAAAAAAAAAAAAAAAAA